AAAGUAGUGAAAAAUCAUGCUUGAUUCGAGUAAUGAGCAUUUGUGUGAUUUGAGUCAAAUGGGAAAAUAGUUUGGAACAAGAUCUACACUUUAUGAGAAACCCAUUUUGCCAUGAUUCGAGUCACGAAAAAGUUCUGAUUCGAGUCACACAAGGCUUGAUUUGAGUCACGAAUAAGUGGUGAUUCGACUAAGAAAAGACAGGGGCAAACCAACAUUCAUGAUUCGACUCAUGAACAAGUUGUGAUUAGUGUC
This 252-nucleotide long non-coding RNA is filed under the name Lathyrus oleraceus (garden pea). RNAcentral describes it as "Pisum sativum (pea) long non-coding RNA (PSAT_LNC003809)". Lineage: Eukaryota; Viridiplantae; Streptophyta; Magnoliopsida; Fabales; Fabaceae. The record is from RNAcentral.